Molecule: ribosomal RNA, 460 nt
Filed under: uncultured bacterium
Lineage: Bacteria
Description: partial 16S ribosomal RNA
Rfam family: Bacterial small subunit ribosomal RNA
Source: RNAcentral
CCUACGGGAGGCAGCAGUGAGGAAUAUUGGUCAAUGAGCGGGAGCCUGAACCAGCCAAGUCGCGUGAGGGAAGACGGUCCUAUGGAUUGUAAACCUCUUUAGGCGGGGAGCAAUGCCGGGCACGCGUGCCCGGAGGGAGAGUACCCGCAGAAUAAGCAUCGGCUAACUCCGUGACAGCAGCCGCGGUCAUACGUAGGAUGAGAGAGUUAUCCGGAUUUAUUGGGUUUGAAGAGUGCGUAGGCGGAUUUUUAAGUCAGCGGUAAAAUGUCCGGGCUCAACCCGGGCCGGCCGUUGAAACUGGGGAUCUUUAGUGGGCGAGAAGUAUGCGGAAUGCGUGGUGUAGCUGUGAAAUGCAUAGAUAUCACGCAGAACUCCGAUUGCGAAGGCAGCAUACCGGCGCCCGCCUGACGCUGAGGCACGAAAGCGUGGGGAUCGAACAGGAUUAGAUACCCGAGUAGUC